UGGGGGAUAUUGCACAAUGGGCGAAAGCCUGAUGCAGCGACGCCGCGUGGGGGAUGAAGGCCUUCGGGUUGUAAACUUCUUUUGCUCUGAACAAGGCAUGCUAAUGGGUGUGUUGAGUGUAGGGGUUGAUUAGCGCCGGCUAACUACGUGCCAGCAGCCGCGGUAAUACGUAGGGCGCGAGCGUUGUCCGGAAUUAUUGGGCGUGAAAGGCUUGUAGGUGGCUGGUUGCGUCUGUCGUGAAAGCUCAUGGCUUAACUGUGGGUUUGCGGUGGGUACGGGCUGGCUUGAGGGGAGUAGGAGAGGCUGGAAUUCCUGGUGUAGCAGUGGAAUGCGCAGAUAACAGGAGGAAUACCGGUGGCGAAGGCGGGUCUCUGGGCUGUUACUGACACUGAGGAGCGAAAGCAUGGGGAGCGAACAGG
This 419-nucleotide ribosomal RNA is filed under the name bacterium. Its description in RNAcentral is "partial 16S ribosomal RNA". It matches the Rfam family "Bacterial small subunit ribosomal RNA", at positions 355 to 776 of the family's 1533-position model. The record is from RNAcentral.